UCCUCCCCGGAAUGGUCUCCAACUCCCGUCAAGGACCCACCGCUGUUCUCUAUCGAGCCCCACUGCGGUACCAUCCCUGCUGGCCAGAAUCAGAUUUUCCGUGUGAAAUUCUUCCCGACGUGUGUGGGGGAAUUUAAGGCCGAAAUGGUGUGCAGAGUUCAUAACCUGAAGCCGUCUCAGAAGAGCCCACGGGUGUUGGUGAUGGGGAAAGGGUGUGAGCCGAAGGCUGAUCUGAAAUGCUUUACAUCACUGCAAAAAGGUGAAACCCAGAGCAGCAAACCCAAGAAGAAGGUGCAGCGCUCAGCAAAACUAGAGUGACACCAUUUGUGCCAUGGUUUCUCCUGCUCAUGGUUUCCCAGCCUUCAGCAGAGACCUCCCCAGCUACUCUUCAAGCCCCAACACCCACCUCUACCUCAUCUGUGUACUACCUAAUAAACUGUGUCUCAACGCA
This is a long non-coding RNA of Corapipo altera (White-ruffed manakin), 451 nucleotides long. RefSeq lists it as uncharacterized. NCBI's taxonomy places the organism in Eukaryota, Metazoa, Chordata, Aves, Passeriformes, Pipridae. The record is from RefSeq and is a predicted model, not a curated record. The transcript has 2 exons.